RNAcentral lists this ribosomal RNA (579 nucleotides) under uncultured bacterium. RNAcentral describes it as "partial 16S ribosomal RNA". It matches the Rfam family "Bacterial small subunit ribosomal RNA", at positions 355 to 932 of the family's 1533-position model. The record is from RNAcentral.
UGGGGAAUUUUGGACAAUGGGCGAAAGCCUGAUCCAGCAAUGCCGCGUGUGUGAAGAAGGCCUUCGGGUUGUAAAGCACUUUUGUCCGGAAAGAAAUCCUUGGCUCUAAUACAGUCGGGGGACGACGGUACCGGAAGAAUAAGCACCGGCUAACUACGUGCCAGCAGCCGCGGUAAUACGUAGGGUGCAAGCGUUAAUCGGAAUUACUGGGCGUAAAGCGUGCGCAGGCGGUUUGCUAAGACCGAUGUGAAAUCCCCGGGCUCAACCUGGGAACUGCAUUGGUGACUGGCAGGCUAGAGUAUGGCAGAGGGGGGUAGAAUUCCACGUGUAGCAGUGAAAUGCGUAGAGAUGUGGAGGAAUACCGAUGGCGAAGGCAGCCCCCUGGGCCAAUACUGACGCUCAUGCACGAAAGCGUGGGGAGCAAACAGGAUUAGAUACCCUGGUAGUCCACGCCCUAAACGAUGUCAACUAGUUGUUGGGGAUUCAUUUCCUUAGUAACGUAGCUAACGCGUGAAGUUGACCGCCUGGGGAGUACGGUCGCAAGAUUAAAACUUAAAUGAAUUGACGGGGUCAUAGCUG